ACGACGACGGGAGUCGCUCUGAGGCCGCAAACGACCACAAGAAACGACCACAAGAAACGACCACAAGAAACGACCACAAGAGACGACCACAAGAAACGACCACAAGAAACGACCACAAGAGACGACCACAAGAAACGACCACAAGAAACGACCACAGAAACGACCACAAGAAACGACCACAAGAAACGACCACAGGAAACGACCACAGGAAACGACCACAAGAAACGACCACAAGAAACGACCACAAGAAACGACCACAAGAAACGACCACAAGAAACGACCACAAGAAACGACCACAAGAAAACGACCACAAGAAACGACCACAGGAAACGACCACAGGAAACGACCACAGGAGACGACCACAAGAAACGACCACAAAAGAACGACCACAAGAGACGACCACAAGAAACGACCACAAGAAACGACCACAGGAAACGACCACAGGAAACGACCACAAGAGACGACCACAAGAAACGACCACAAGAAACGACCACAGGAAACGACCACAGGAAACGACCACAAGAAACGACCACAGGAAACGACCACAGGAAACGACCACAAGAAACGACCACAAGAAACGACCACAGGAAACGACCACAGGAAACGACCACAAGAAACGACCACAAGAAACGACCACAGGAAACGACCACAAGAAACGACCACAAGAGACGAUCACAAGAAACGACCACAAGAAACGACCACAAGAGACGACCACAAGAAACGACCACAGGAAACGACCACAGGAAACGACCACAGGAAACGACCACAAGAGACGACCACAAGAAACGACCACAGGAAACGACCACAGAAACGACCACAAGAAACGACCACAAGAAACGACCACAGGAAACGACCACAAGAAACGACCACAAGAGACGAUCACAAGAAACGACCACAAGAAAACGACCACAAGAGACGACCACAAGAAACGACCACAAGAAACGACCACAGGAAACGACCACAGGAAACGACCACAAGAGACGACCACAAGAAACGACCACAGGAAACGACCACAGGAAACGACCACAAGAGACGACCACAAGAAACGACCACAAGAAACGACCACAGGAAACGACCACAAGAACGACGACCAAGAAACGACCACAAGAAACGACCACAGGAAACGACCACAGGAAACGACCACAAGAAACGACCACAAGAAACGACCACAGGAAACGACCACAAGAAACGACCACAAGAAACGACCACAGGAAACGACCACAGGAAACGACCACAAGAAACGACCACAAGAAACGACCACAGGAAACGACCACAAGAAACGACCACAAGAGACGAUCACAAGAAACGACCACAAGAAACGACCACAAGAGACGACCACAAGAAACGACCACAAGAAACGACCACAGGAAACGACCACAGGAAACGACCACAAGAGACGACCACAAGAACGACCACAAGAAACGACCACAAGAGACAACCACAAGUGACGACCACAAGAGACGACCACAGGAAACGACCACAAGAAACGACCACAAGAAACGACCACAAGAAACGACCACAAGAAAAGACCACAAGAGACGACCACAAGAAACGACCACAGGAAACGACCACAGGAAACGACCACAAGAGACGACCACAAGAAACGACCACAAGAAACGACCACAAGAGACAACCACAAGUGACGACCACAAGAGACGACCACAGGAAACGACCACAAGAAACGACCACAAGAAACGACCACAAGAAACGACCACAAGAAAAGACCACAAGAGACAACCACAAGAAACGACCACAAGAGACAACCACAAGAAACGACCACAAGAAACGACCACAGGAAACGACCACAAGAAACGACCACAAGAAAAGACCACAAGAGACAACCACAAGAAACGACCACAAGAAACGACCACAAGAGACGACCACAAGAAACGACCACAAGUGACGACCACAAGAGACGACCACAGGAAACGACCACAAGAGACGACCACAAGAAACGACCACAAGAAAAGACCACAAGAAACGACCACAGGAAACGACCACAAGAAACGACCACAAGAAACGACCACAAGAGACGACCACAAGUGA
This 2046-nucleotide long non-coding RNA is filed under the name Oryzias javanicus (javanese ricefish). Its description in RNAcentral is "lncRNA (ENSOJAG00000019276.1)". Lineage: Eukaryota; Metazoa; Chordata; Actinopteri; Beloniformes; Adrianichthyidae. The record is from RNAcentral.